This is a long non-coding RNA of Drosophila novamexicana, 519 nucleotides long. RefSeq lists it as uncharacterized. NCBI's taxonomy places the organism in Eukaryota, Metazoa, Arthropoda, Insecta, Diptera, Drosophilidae. The record is from RefSeq and is a predicted model, not a curated record. The transcript is spliced from 3 exons.
UGAUUGCGAUUGUCCUUCGUGCCUCGUCCUUCUAUAUCGUCGGCAGCUGCAACGAUGCUACGACUAGAUUUAAGAGAAAUUCUAAAAAAAAAACAAAUCCUUUGGAAGCUGCUGCAUGCCGCAGGGGAUGUUGGAGUGCAAUGCCAAAGCUUGACGUGAGCAAGAAGUCGGCCACGCCCCCGCAGGAAUUACAUCCUGACCGCAACAAUAAGGCAUUUGUUGGUGGUGGUGGGGGGUUAGCCAAGCUGUAAUUAGUGUCAAGGUGGACGUUGCGUAUACGCCGCGUGGGUCAAGGGAAAAGCGCAGCGCCUGGGUUAAGCAGCCAAAGCAUGUCACGUUGAUGUUGUAAGUGCCCGGGCGUGUCCGUACAGUUUGCCAGCCCUGGAUUCGUUCUGGAUUCGCGAUGCAUAAUUAAACCAGAUCGCCUCAUUAUAAUUUCCAUUAAAAAGUGCGUUGCCACAAAACAAAAAAAAUGCAGUUCGAGGCGCUGCGCAACACACACUCCUGUUUCCUUCUGGC